RNAcentral lists this ribosomal RNA (468 nucleotides) under uncultured bacterium. Its description in RNAcentral is "partial 16S ribosomal RNA". It matches the Rfam family "Bacterial small subunit ribosomal RNA", at positions 28 to 507 of the family's 1533-position model. The record is from RNAcentral.
GACGAACGCUGGCGGCGUGCUUAACACAUGCAAGUCGAACGGAAAGGCCCUGCUUUUGUGGGGUGCUCGAGUGGCGAACGGGUGAGUAACACGUGAGUAACCUGCCCUUGACUUUGGGAUAACUUCAGGAAACUGGGGCUAAUACCGGAUAGGAGCUCCUGCUGCAUGGUGGGGGUUGGAAAGUUUCGGCGGUUGGGGAUGGACUCGCGGCUUAUCAGCUUGUUUGUGGGGUAGUGGCUUACCCAGGCUUUGACGGGUAGCCGGCCUGAGAGGGUGACCGGCCACAUUGGGACUGAGAUACGGCCCAGACUCCUACGGGAGGCAGCAGUGGGGAAUAUUGCACAAUGGGCGGAAGCCUGAUGCAGCAACGCCGCGUGCGGGAUGACGGCCUUCGGGUUGUAAACCGCUUUCGCCUGUGACGAAGCGUGAGUGACGGUAAUGGGUAAAGAAGCACCGGCUAACUACGUG